GGAAGGGUGGCCGAGUGGUUUAAGGCUCCAGUCUUGAAAACUGGCGUGCGGGCAACUGCACCGUGGGUUCAAAUCCCACCCCUUCCGCCA
RNAcentral lists this transfer RNA (90 nucleotides) under Acetobacter malorum. RNAcentral's name for it is "tRNA-Ser". It matches the Rfam family "tRNA". Rfam says of the family: Transfer RNA (tRNA) molecules are approximately 80 nucleotides in length. Their secondary structure includes four short double-helical elements and three loops (D, anti-codon, and T loops). The record is from RNAcentral. RNAcentral also lists the same sequence under 1 other name. Lineage: Bacteria; Pseudomonadati; Pseudomonadota; Alphaproteobacteria; Acetobacterales; Acetobacteraceae.